This 64-nucleotide small nuclear RNA is filed under the name Salvator merianae (Argentine black and white tegu). Lineage: Eukaryota; Metazoa; Chordata; Lepidosauria; Squamata; Teiidae. The record is from RNAcentral.
GUGGUUGCUUCAGCAGCACAUUUACUAAAAUUGGAAAGAUUCAGAGAAGAUUAGCAUAGGCCCU